AGGACCUUAUCUAGGCUAGAGAGAAAGAAUAAAGAAAAUUAGACAAAAAAAGCCUCUUGUAAGAAAGAAGGAAGAAUUCUGAAUGCACCAAGACUCCUCGGCGUGCACCCCUAUUUAUAUUGCACGUAGGGGUGCAAACCAAAACAUCACAUGCCCACUCACACUUUAUCUCAUGCCCCCUUUCUAUUUCUCAUGCUCCAUAAAUUGUAAAAUGCCAUGUGUACAUCAAAGUUGGGUUGAAGAGGCGCCUUAUUUCAGAAGGACUCUUCGAUCUUAACUUACGGUGUUCACAUGAGAAGUCACAAAGCUUCUCUUAUUGGCGCCAUCAACCCUUACCUUUGGAUCUGGAAGAAAGCCCAUCCAAUGGCCAAGAUAGAGGGCACCAACUUCAGGAAGGGAGCAAGAGAUUAAGGGGCGUGGAUAAGUUAAAACUUAUCUCCCCAUUUGAAAUUUCCAAGGAGCGCUUCCAAGAGGUGGCGCAUGGAUUUAAUCCUUAUCUCUUCUCCUAAUUUUUCUACGAUGAGUUUAAUACUCGGAAGGACUCUAAAGCACCUCCUAAGACAUCUGAAAAUCAUUCGUAGAAUAAAAGUCAUGGAGAAAAAUAGGAAAGACCAAGUUAAGGGGCGCCAUCUCCCAUCCAUGCUCCAUGUGACAUAUGCGCAUGGAUUUAAUCCUUAUCUACUUCUCGUAAUUUUUCUACGAGGAGUUUAAUACUCAGAAGAACUCUUAGGCACCUCCUAAGACAUAUGAAAAUCAUUCGUAGAAUAAAAACUAUAGAGAAAAAAUAGAUAAGACCAAAUUUAAGGUGGUGCCAACUCUAUCCAUGCACCAUGUGGCUCAUGCGCAUGGAUUUAAAUCCACACGCCAAGAGAGAGACUCUCAGGCAUGUGGUUCCCUAGUUUUUGGCACCCAACAGCAAGCCCAAUUAAAACACUUCGAACCCAUUUCAAGACCAAAUCCAAUUUGGCUUAAAUUAGUUCUAAAUUAGCCCAA
This 993-nucleotide long non-coding RNA is filed under the name Elaeis guineensis (African oil palm). RNAcentral's name for it is "long non-coding RNA (EGUI_LNC074860)". Lineage: Eukaryota; Viridiplantae; Streptophyta; Magnoliopsida; Arecales; Arecaceae. The record is from RNAcentral.